Molecule: ribosomal RNA, 690 nt
Filed under: uncultured Bacteroidales bacterium
Lineage: Bacteria; Pseudomonadati; Bacteroidota; Bacteroidia; Bacteroidales
Description: bacterial SSU rRNA
Rfam family: Bacterial small subunit ribosomal RNA
Source: RNAcentral
CGAGGGGCAGCAUGAUUGAAGCUUGCUUCAAUUGAUGGCGACCGGCGCACGGGUGAGUAACACGUAUCCAACCUGCCGAUAACUCGGGGAUAGCCUUUCGAAAGAAAGAUUAAUACCCGAUAGUAUAGUAUUUCCGCAUGGUUUCACUAUUAAAGAAUUUCGGUUAUCGAUGGGGAUGCGUUCCAUUAGAUAGUUGGCGGGGUAACGGCCCACCAAGUCAACGAUGGAUAGGGGUUCUGAGAGGAAGGUCCCCCACAUUGGAACUGAGACACGGUCCAAACUCCUACGGGAGGCAGCAGUGAGGAAUAUUGGUCAAUGGACGAGAGUCUGAACCAGCCAAGUAGCGUGAAGGAUGACUGCCCUAUGGGUUGUAAACUUCUUUUAUACGGGAAUAAAGUGGAGUAUGCAUACUCCUUUGUAUGUACCGUAUGAAUAAGGAUCGGCUAACUCCGUGCCAGCAGCCGCGGUAAUACGGAGGAUCCGAGCGUUAUCCGGAUUUAUUGGGUUUAAAGGGAGCGUAGGCGGGUGCUUAAGUCAGUUGUGAAAGUUUGCGGCUCAACCGUAAAAUUGCAGUUGAUACUGGGCGCCUUGAGUGCAGCAUAGGUAGGCGGAAUUCGUGGUGUAGCGGUGAAAUGCUUAGAUAUCACGAAGAACUCCGAUUGCGAAGGCAGCUUACUGGACUGUAACUGA